GAACGCUGGCGGUAUGCUUAACGCAUGCAAGUCGUACGCAAGUUUUUAACUUGAGUGGCGGACGGGUGAGUAACACGUGAGAAUUCACCUUUAGGAGGGGAAUAACAAUUGGAAACGAUUGCUAAUGCCCCAUAUGCUCGUAAGAGUGAAAGGAAAGCAAUAGCUUAAUUCCGCCUAAAGAGAAGCUCGCGGCUGAUUAGCUAGUUGGUAAGGUAAUGGCUUACCAAGGCGACGAUCAGUAGCUGGUUUGAGAGAACGAUCAGCCACACUGGAACUGAGACACGGUCCAGACUCCUACGGGGGCAGCAGUGAGGAAUUUUCUGCAAUGGGCGAAAGCCUGACAGAGCAAUACCGCGUGAGGGAUGAAUGCCCACGGGUUGUAAACCUCUUUUGUCAAGGAGGAAGUUCUGACGUGUACUUGACGAAUAAGCAUCGGCUAACUCCGUGCCAGCAG
Molecule: ribosomal RNA, 454 nt
Filed under: uncultured bacterium
Lineage: Bacteria
Description: bacterial SSU rRNA
Rfam family: Bacterial small subunit ribosomal RNA
Source: RNAcentral